AGUUAAAAGUAGUAAGGUUAAAAGUACUGUAAUUCCUAGAUUCGAGGAACUGACGUGAGGCGUGUGGCGUGCCGGCGUGUCGCGUUUAGUACUUGAGAGUCUAAAGUUGAGACUUCGUUUUUACAUGUGACUCGCAUGACGAUUGACGAGCUACCUACGAAACAAAUGUUUUUUCAUCACUUAUUACUUGUUUGUCAGUAGUUGUUACUCCGUACUUGUUUGCGGGGUCGUUAUUCGUGCGCCAUCUUAUGUACUUCUACUAAUGUCACUGCUUUCAACCUAAAUCACGGAAUAAUUCAUUCUGUGGCAUAGACUAUAUUAUACUCCUUUUCAAAAGAGAAUAUACCGCUUUCGCGCAUGCGAAUGAUUCGAUUGUUGCUGUAUGGAAAUCUGUCUUCUGUGGUAGUCAACGCGGACACCCUUUUAUCGUUGAUUUUCGUUAAAAAUCUCUAGUGACCGUUUCGAGAUUUCGUUGACUUCCGCGUAGAAAGCACAUUACAGCUGUCUCUGCUGUACGUCUGGAGCGGACAUCGUUUUAGAAAUGUACAACUUACCGAGCCUGGUAAAAACAGCUUAUUACGCAUGCAACAAGGCCGAGCGUAACAAAUUCGACUUGACGGAUGCACCGGACGUCGACUUGCGAUAUUGUUGCGAGUCGCUUUUUGAAUUCUUAAAAGUCAACAAGAACCUAGAUGAGGGCGACGAUAGGCGGACCAUGUACAGCCGGUCGCAGUUCGAAGUCGCGGACAAUAGGUUUAAAUACGUUUGUGAGGAGGCAGCGUUGCAUGGGCACAUUGAAUGCUUGAUACUCGCCCACGAAAUUGGUCUCCCGUGGAACGUUUCAGCGUCCGACAACGCCGCAUUGAACGGUCACUUAAAAUGUUUGAUAUACCUCGGGAUGCAUGGGUGUCAUUGGAGUUUUAACACGUGCAGCAACGCUGCCUUGAACGGUCAUCUAAAGUGCUUGAAGUAUUUAAGGAGGUCCCAUUGCCCGUGGGAUCAGGCGACGUGCAGCAACGCUGCGUUGAACGGGCACUUGGACUGCCUGGUCUAUGCGCGGAGACACCGUUGCCGCUGGAACCAGGCGACGUGUAGCAACGCUGCGUUGAAUGGUCAUCUCGAUUGCCUGGCGUACGCACGGGAGCAAGGUUGCCCGUGGAACGUGGACACGUGGAGCAGUGCCGCAUCCAACGGUCACCAGGCCUGCCUAGCUUAUGCGAGUGCAAAUGGGUGCCCAAGACCGUCGAGUGAACCCUAACCAUAAAGAUAUUGGGACUUUGGUGUUUUUUCAGUUAGAUGGAUAACAAUAGGUACCUACUACUUAGCAUGUACGAGGGAAUGAUUGAGCCAUAUGUUCACAAUUGACACUAGUUUAAAUUCAAUGGUAUCUACUUGUUGUAUCAGGAAUUAAAAAGUGAUUAAUUUCAA
RNAcentral lists this unclassified non-coding RNA (1428 nucleotides) under Acyrthosiphon pisum (pea aphid). RNAcentral describes it as "putative ankyrin repeat protein L59-like". The record is from RNAcentral. Lineage: Eukaryota; Metazoa; Arthropoda; Insecta; Hemiptera; Aphididae.